ACCCUCCAGAUUCCUUACCCCUCAGAUUGAAAUAUUGGUCUGUGAAGCUAAAAAAGGAGGAAAAGUAUAACUAGAGUGGACUUAGAGUCUUUUUUUCUUUAAGAUCAUUUUUGGGGGUCUGGUAUCAGGCAUAU
RNAcentral lists this small nucleolar RNA (134 nucleotides) under Echinops telfairi (small Madagascar hedgehog). RNAcentral describes it as "Small nucleolar RNA SNORA61 (ENSETEG00000025527.1)". Lineage: Eukaryota; Metazoa; Chordata; Mammalia; Afrosoricida; Tenrecidae. The record is from RNAcentral.